AGUAGUUUGACUCCGUGGCUACGAGGACGAACGCUGGCGGCGCGCCUAACACAUGCAAGUCGAACGGAGGUAUUGAGACAGAAGCUUCGGCGGAAGACUUAAUACUUUAGUGGCGAACGGGUGAGUAACACGUGAGGAACCUGCCUUUAAGAGGGGGAUAACACUUAGAAAUAGGUGCUAAUACCGCAUAAGACCACAGAGCGGCAUCGCUCAGGGGUCAAAGGAGGAAUCCGCUUAAAGAUGGCCUCGCGUCCGAUUAGGUAGUAGGCGGGGCAACGGCCCACCUAGCCUGCGAUCGGUAGCCGGACUGAGAGGUUGAACGGCCACAUUGGGACUGAGACACGGCCCAGACUCC
Molecule: ribosomal RNA, 355 nt
Filed under: uncultured Oscillospiraceae bacterium
Lineage: Bacteria; Bacillati; Bacillota; Clostridia; Eubacteriales; Oscillospiraceae
Description: bacterial SSU rRNA
Rfam family: Bacterial small subunit ribosomal RNA
Source: RNAcentral